RNAcentral lists this ribosomal RNA (379 nucleotides) under uncultured bacterium. RNAcentral's name for it is "bacterial SSU rRNA". It matches the Rfam family "Bacterial small subunit ribosomal RNA", at positions 29 to 408 of the family's 1533-position model. The record is from RNAcentral.
AUUGAACGCUGGCGGCAUGCCUUACACAUGCAAGUCGAACGGCAGCACGGGAGCAAUCCUGGUGGCGAGUGGCGAACGGGUGAGUAAUAUAUCGGAACGUGCCCGGUCGUGGGGGAUAACGUAGCGAAAGCUACGCUAAUACCGCAUACGAUCUACGGAUGAAAGCGGGGGAUCGCAAGACCUCGCGCGAUUGGAGCGGCCGAUAUCAGAUUAGGUAGUUGGUGAGGUAAAGGCUCACCAAGCCGACGAUCUGUAGCUGGUCUGAGAGGACGACCAGCCACACUGGGACUGAGACACGGCCCAGACUCCUACGGGAGGCAGCAGUGGGGGAAUUUUGGACAAUGGGCGCAAGCCUGAUCCAGCAAUGCCGCGUGCAGGA